This is a long non-coding RNA of Pteropus alecto (black flying fox), 2245 nucleotides long. RefSeq lists it as uncharacterized. The record is from RefSeq and is a predicted model, not a curated record. Lineage: Eukaryota; Metazoa; Chordata; Mammalia; Chiroptera; Pteropodidae. The transcript has 2 exons.
CGGGAGGACGCCGGCCACCGAGCCACCGAGCCCACCGAGCCCCGGACCCAGCCGUGACCCACACACACGCGUCGCGGCCGGUGCCGGAUUGCACGGGAACUCACAAAACGGGUCCUUUCCCUCGAGCUCGAGGAAAUUAUCUGAGUGUGGCCGACCUGUUGCCUCACCUUGGCCGAAAGGGGAAACCAGAAAGAAGAAAUUGUGCUGCAGGCACUUGCUCUGACUGGGCCUGACCGAAAAGGGACUGGUGUUUGUAUGUGGUUACUCUCUCCUUCUCUGGCCUCAAGAGUCAGAUUCGUGCCCACGGGCACCCCUGGCCCAAGAGCUUCCCGGGAGCAACUGAGCGAACGGCCUGACCAAGGAGGAGAUGAGUGGUCUUCCAGGCAGCUACACCGAAGGCUGGGGUAACCCAGUGAUCCAGUGCUGGCAUGUGGAAGGAUGGGGACCGUGUCACCUGGGCACUGAGAUAUCCUAGCAACACCAUGAGGGACUUUUAUUCUCUUUACCUACUGACUGGAGAAACUGGCUAUUGGGCGGGGCUGAGGGGUUGGGGGUGGGUGCAUUUGCCCUAGUCAUACAGAUAAAGAGUGGUGGAGCUAAAUCUGUCCCUAGGCCUGCAGUCCCCCAUCCCACCCCAAGUCUUCUCCUAGACACCUGGCACAGUGUGAUGGGGGAGGGGAGCACAAGGCUCCCAGAGGACUUAGAGAGAGAGAGGUACUAGGUAGGGAAUGUGGGGUACUAGCUUUCCUUGGAAUGGUAGGAGAGAUCAAAGGGAAGGCCAGGAGGACAGUCUGAACUGAGAUGAGCCCCAGAAGCCCCUGGGUAGCUGAGGUCUACACCCACAGAUCUGGGUCUGCCCACCUCUACCCCAAGCUUGACCAAGGGCUCCUCAGCAAUUAGACACAAGGUUCUCAGUUUGGGUGGGAGUAGGGGCCUCUGGGUACAUGAUGUAACCAUGAGGGUGAAGGGAUAAACCUGGGGUGGGAUGGGGCUAGGAACCAUGUAUGACUUCCUCUCUCUGUCUCUGGGCCCGACCCCAUGCCCAGAAUCACAUGGGAGACACUCCUCUAGGAUGAGCUUGGAUUGGUCCUGGAGGACUGGCAUGUGCUGCUGACGACUGGCAUACCAGGGUGGCCAGGAGCAGUCCAGAAGGGGAGUCAAGAGAGACCCUGGCCCUCACCACCCACCCCCAGUCCCACAUCAGCUCUGACACUGGUUGCUCUCAGCCCAGGCACUCAGAAUUCCCAGGGCUGAAAACCAUAGCAGUCUGGUUGGCCUCAGGGACAGAGUGGCCCAGUCUCACACCAUCUGCCCUCCCCAGCUGGAACCCGGGUCCUGGGUGAAGAUCACCUGCCUCACCCAGGGAACUGAGACUGGACCAAAGCCACCAUGUGCCCCUUGCAGUUUCCCAGAGACAGGAUUGGAUGGCUUCCUUCCUUGUGCCAAGUCUCCUGGGAGCCCGCAGUCCUGGUGGCAACUCCUCCACUCCAACCCUAUCCAUCCAGGACCACUUCUGGGAGUCUGCCAGCCUGCCGACUCCAUCCAUAUAUCUCUGGAGACAGCCUCAGAGAAAGGAGAGUGACACAGGCUUCAUGAGUGGGGAGGAGGAUGCAGGUCCUUUUGGGGGCUGAUACCUUUCAAGCCCAGGUCUCACCAUCUGGGAAACUGGAACCCAGCUCCAGCCUCUUCCUGGGUCAGGCGGAGAGGAGGAAGACCUGAGAAUGGCAUGAGGAAGGCUCCUCAUGGAUUCUGUGCCCUGGCCCUCAGGGAGAAAUGUGCAUAGGAGCCUCAGGGUCCUUGGCCUCACAGAUGGAGAAGCUCCACCCAAUGCCGAGGGGCACAGGAAGUGGCUCUGGGUGGAGCUGCUGUGGCUGUCCCUGCUCAAAGGGAAUGAGCCUUAGGCUGUGUUCCUGCCACUGCUUUUCUCAUCGUUUCGGCCUUGAGUAGUGAGCUGCUUUUCCUUUCCCACUUCCCCUCACACCCCACUGGACCCUAGCUGCUUGGUGGGUUCUCAAUGCACUUUAUUUAUUUGCAGUCUGUUUUCCAGGCAGCGGAACUUGUACAAAAUCAGAGACACCAACCCAUAUAAGAUGACUUUCACUUUUCUGUGUGUGUGAACUCUGUACUGGUCAGCACAAUCUGGUCAGAGAAAUGUUCUUGUUUCUGCUAUUGUCAAAUCUUGCUGUCUAAGUUGAAAAAAAAGUCCUUGAGUUCAAAAAAAUAAAAUAAAACUGGAGGCCUCCUG